UGGGGAAUAUUGGGCAAUGGAGGCAACUCUGACCCAGCAAUGCCGCGUGAGCGAUGAAGGUAGUUUUAUUGUAAAGCUCUUUUCUCAGGAACGAACAAAUGACGGUACCUGAGGAAUAAGCCCCGGCUAACUACGUGCCAGCAGCCGCGGUAAUACGUAGGGGGCGAGCGUUAUCCGGAUUUACUGGGUGUAAAGGGCGCGUAGGCGGGAUGCAAGUCAGAUGUGAAAUCUAUGGGCUCAACCCAUAAACUGCAUUUGAAACUGUAUCUCUUGAGUGUCGGAGAGGUAGAUGGAAUUCCUAGUGUAGCGGUGAAAUGCGUAGAUAUUAGGAGGAACACCAGUGGCGAAGGCGGUCUACUGGACGAUAACUGACGCUGAGGCGCGAAAGCGUGGGGAGCAAACAGGAUUAGAUACCCUGGUAGU
Molecule: ribosomal RNA, 423 nt
Filed under: uncultured Clostridium sp.
Lineage: Bacteria; Bacillati; Bacillota; Clostridia; Eubacteriales; Clostridiaceae
Description: bacterial SSU rRNA
Rfam family: Bacterial small subunit ribosomal RNA
Source: RNAcentral